RNAcentral lists this long non-coding RNA (396 nucleotides) under Pan troglodytes (chimpanzee). Its description in RNAcentral is "long non-coding RNA NONPTRT011821". The record is from RNAcentral. Lineage: Eukaryota; Metazoa; Chordata; Mammalia; Primates; Hominidae.
GCUUCCAGAGGAGGGAGGGGGUCCUGGGGAUGCGCAGACAUGGGCUAGGCUGCAUGACCAGCACAGGCAGAGGGGCCUCACAGGGCUGGGCCCAAAGGAGGCCUGCCCCAGAAAAGAUGCAGCUCUUACAUCUUCAGGGCCCGGGGAGAUGGGGGGCGGGGCCCAGAGAACCCAGCACCACCUGGACCGAGAGCUGCCCCCAGCAUCGGAGAGGAAGGCCUGCCGGUCACUGCCACGUCAUGUACCCUGGGCAAAUCUACUGUCCUCUCUGGGCUCGUAGGACGGUGUUUGUCCACAUCAGAACAGUCUUGGCUGGGGAUGGACACGGGCUUUCAGCUUCUGGAAGGGAUGUGGGUAUUCACCCAAGCAGCUGACCAAGAGCUCUCCUGGGCCUGG